UCCGUCCUCAACGAGGCAUUUUCAUCCAAGAAAACCAUUUUGUGAUUAAUAUAAUCAUCCUCGCAAAAACAUUUACCACAGCCAAAAUAUGCAUUAUGCCCUUUUGAGCCAGUUACAAAGGAUUUGGCAGGAGUAUCACAAAUAAUUGCUCUGAUUGUUACACGGUUUUUUAUAACCGUGAAAAGCAGCAAUCAAAAAGGGUUCCGUGACAUGAAUAUUAUAAAUUUGACCAAGUAUAGGCCAUAACUGGCUUUGGGAACUUUUAGUAAGAGACCAUAAUAAAAGUAAUGGCCAGCUCCACACUCUCGAAUAAUUGUAUUUUUGGGUGUUCCUAACAAGGUUCGAGCAUCACUGGGCAAAUCAUUGUGACCUUCUUUCUGUAGAAUACACAAUAAGGCUGUCAGAGAUUUUUGAGUAAUAUUAUAUUUAAUAGCCCACACACA
Formica exsecta is the source of this 443-nucleotide long non-coding RNA. RefSeq lists it as uncharacterized. The record is from RefSeq and is a predicted model, not a curated record. The transcript has 3 exons. Lineage: Eukaryota; Metazoa; Arthropoda; Insecta; Hymenoptera; Formicidae.